RNAcentral lists this long non-coding RNA (244 nucleotides) under Brassica napus (rape). Its description in RNAcentral is "long non-coding RNA (BNAP_LNC005134)". The record is from RNAcentral. Lineage: Eukaryota; Viridiplantae; Streptophyta; Magnoliopsida; Brassicales; Brassicaceae.
CAAUUAUUGCUAUAUAUUUUAGAUGAGUUGUAAUAUAAAUAAUUGUAUUCAAAAGAUCUGGACCGAAUAAGGUAAUAUGGUUAUUUUUGGUACAAAUAUCCGAACCCGUCUCAGAUACAUUUGUUAUUUAGAUAUUUUUAGAUUCCUAUACAUCAGAACUGAACUCAUCCAGACCCGGAAGAACUCAACUCAAAACCCAUAGAUAAAUUUAUACUAUUUAAGUGGGGCCUAAUUAAAAAAAUUA